UUUUUUGAGGCAAAUUCUCUUUACUCUGACAAUGGUGUCGUAUAGUGCUUCAGCUACUAUGUGAAAAUAAUGUGAUUAUGUAUUUAAUGUAUAAUUUACUUAAUAACAUGGUGAGAGCCAUGUUAAUAGAUUUUAGUUGGUUGUAGAAUAUAAUUUGAUUAUUACCUUGAAAAGAGGUUGUUUAAAAAGAUUACUAUAGAAUUUGUAUAACUUUAUUUUCUUUUGAUAGUAGCUUUUAAGAUUGGUUUUGAUUGAUAGUAACUUCUAAAUA
RNAcentral lists this long non-coding RNA (271 nucleotides) under Physcomitrium patens. RNAcentral describes it as "long non-coding RNA (PPAT_LNC003696)". Lineage: Eukaryota; Viridiplantae; Streptophyta; Bryopsida; Funariales; Funariaceae. The record is from RNAcentral.